CGUAGGUGGCAAGCGUUGUCCAGAUUUAUUGGGUUUAAAGGGUGCGUAGGCGGUCCUAUAAGUCAGUGCUGAAAUAUCCCGGCUUAACCGGGAGGGUGGCAUUGAUACUGCAGGACUUGAGUAAAGUUGAGGUUGGCGGAAUUGACGGUGUAGCGGUGAAAUGCUUAGAUAUCGUCAAGAACACCUAUUGCGAAGGCAGCUAACUAAGCUUUAACUGACGCUGAGGCACGAAAGUGUGGGGAUCAAACAGGAUUAGAUACCCUGGUAGUCCACACUGUAAACGUUGAUUACUCGCUGUUGGCGAUACACAGCCAGCGGCUUAGCGCAAGCGAUAAGUAAUCCACCUGGGGAGUACGCCGGCAACGGUG
Molecule: ribosomal RNA, 368 nt
Filed under: uncultured organism
Description: bacterial SSU rRNA
Rfam family: Bacterial small subunit ribosomal RNA
Source: RNAcentral